AUUGAACGCUGGCGACAUGCCUUACGCAUGCAAGUCGAACGGCAGCACGGGUGCUUGCACCUGGUGGCGAGUGGCGAACGGGUGAGUAAUACAUCGGAACAUGUCCUGUAGUGGGGGAUAGCCCGGCGAAAGCCGGAUUAAUACCGCAUACGAUCUACGGAUGAAAGCGGGGGGCCUUCGGGCCUCGCGCUAUAGGGUUGGCCGAUGGCUGAUUAGCUAGUUGGUGGGGUAAAGGCCUACCAAGGCGACGAUCAGUAGCUGGUCUGAGAGGACGACCAGUCACACUGGGACUGAGACACGGCCCAGACUCCUACGGGAGGCAGCAGUGGGGAAUUUUGGACAAUGGGCGAAAGCCUGAUCCAGCAAUGCCGCGUGUGUGAAGAAGGCCUUCGGGUUGUAAAGCACUUUUGUCCGGAAAGAAAUCCUUGGCCCUAAUACGGUCGGGGGAUGACGGUACCGGAAGAAUAAGCACCGGCUAACUACGUG
This 486-nucleotide ribosomal RNA is filed under the name uncultured bacterium. Its description in RNAcentral is "partial 16S ribosomal RNA". It matches the Rfam family "Bacterial small subunit ribosomal RNA", at positions 30 to 507 of the family's 1533-position model. The record is from RNAcentral.